RNAcentral lists this ribosomal RNA (1153 nucleotides) under Paratrichodorus minor. RNAcentral's name for it is "SSU rRNA". It matches the Rfam family "Eukaryotic small subunit ribosomal RNA", at positions 39 to 1200 of the family's 1831-position model. The record is from RNAcentral. Lineage: Eukaryota; Metazoa; Nematoda; Enoplea; Triplonchida; Trichodoridae.
AAAGAUUAAGCCAUGCAUGUCUAUGCACACGCCCUUGAUUGGUGAAGCCGCGAAAAGCUCAUUACAACAGCCAUAGUUUAUUGGAUCUUUACGUUCCUACAAGGAUAUCUGCGGUAAUUCUGGAGCUAAUACUUGCGAAAAACGGCGACCUUACGGAAGUCGUGCAUUUGUUAGACUAAACCAAUCGGUCCUUCGGGACCGUCAUUUGGUGAACUCUGAAUAACUCAGCUGAUCGCACAGUCUCGUACUGGCGACAAAUCCUUCAAGUGUCUGCCUUAUCAACUGUCGAUGGUAGUUUACACGACUACCAUGGUUGUAACGGGUAACGGAGAAUAAGGGUUCGACUCCGGAGAGGGAGCCUGAGAAACGGCUACCACAUCCAAGGAAGGCAGCAGGCGCGCAAAUUACCCACUCUCAGAACGAGGAGGUAGUGACGAAAAAUAACGAGGUGGCCCUCUUUGAGGUCCAUCAUCGGAAUGGGUACAAUUUAAAUCCUUUAACGAGGAUCUAUUGGAGGGCAAGUCUGGUGCCAGCAGCCGCGGUAAUUCCAGCUCCAAUAGCAUAUACUAAAGUUGUUGCGGUUAAAAAGCUCGUAGUUGGAUCUGCGCCAGGUGGAAGCGGUCGCCCGAUGGGUUGUUACUGCUUACCUCUGGCUAACCAUUCGGUUUUCCCUUGAUGCUCUUAAGUGAGUGUCCUGGGUGACCGGAACGUUUACUUUGAAAAAAUUAGAGUGCUCAAAGCAGGCAUUUCGCCCGAAUAUUCGUGCAUGGAAUAAUAAAAGAGGUCCUUGUAGCCUUUUAUUGGUUAUCGCUACGAGGAAAUGAUCGAAGGGGACAGACGGGGGCAUUUGUAUUGCGACGUUAGAGGUGAAAUUCUUGGAUCGUCGCAAGACAAACUACUGCGAAAGCAUUUGCCAAGAAUGUUUUCAUCAAUCAAGAACGAAAGUCUGAGGUUCGACAGCGAUCAGAUACCGCUUUAGUUCAGACCGUAAACGAUGCCAUCUGGCGAUCCGCCGGCGUUAUGUUUGACCCGGCGGGCAGCCACCGGUAAACCUUUAAGUUGGGUUCCGGGGGAAGUAUGGUUGCAAAGCUGAAACUUAAAGGAAUUGACGGAAGGGCACCACCAGGAGUGGAGCCUGCGGCUUAAUUUGACU